UGGUAAUGCCGGAUGCUCCAUCACACCGCAUGGUGUGUUGGGAAAGCCUUUGCGGCAUGGGAUGGGGUCGCGUCCUAUCAGCUUGAUGGCGGGGUAACGGCCCACCAUGGCUUCGACGGGUAGCCGGCCUGAGAGGGCGACCGGCCACAUUGGGACUGAGAUACGGCCCAGACUCCUACGGGAGGCAGCAGUGGGGAAUAUUGCACAAUGGGCGCAAGCCUGAUGCAGCGACGCCGCGUGAGGGAUGGAGGCCUUCGGGUUGUAAACCUCUUUUGUUAGGGAGCAAGGCAUUUUGUGUUGAGUGUACCUUUCGAAUAAGCACCGGCUAACUACGUGCCAGCAGCCGCGGUAAUACGUAGGGUGCAAGCGUUAUCCGGAAUUAUUGGGCGUAAAGGGCUCGUAGGCGGUUCGUCGCGUCCGGUGUGAAAGUCCAUCGCUUAACGGUGGAUCCGCGCCGGGUACGGGCGGGCUUGAGUGCGGUAGGGGAGACUGGAAUUCCCGGUGUAACGGUGGAAUGUGUAGAUAUCGAG
RNAcentral lists this ribosomal RNA (530 nucleotides) under Bifidobacterium breve. RNAcentral describes it as "bacterial SSU rRNA". It matches the Rfam family "Bacterial small subunit ribosomal RNA", at positions 161 to 701 of the family's 1533-position model. The record is from RNAcentral. Lineage: Bacteria; Bacillati; Actinomycetota; Actinomycetes; Bifidobacteriales; Bifidobacteriaceae.